This is a long non-coding RNA of Homo sapiens (human), 428 nucleotides long. RefSeq lists it as uncharacterized. The transcript has 5 exons. The record is from RefSeq and is a predicted model, not a curated record. NCBI's taxonomy places the organism in Eukaryota, Metazoa, Chordata, Mammalia, Primates, Hominidae.
GGAAAAGGACAAAUCAUUUGCAGGACAAAGUGUGUCUUACAUCUCUCCGGAGGAAGGCUCCUCUGAAAGGCACUGUUUGUGACCCCCUGUGACAGUUGUCUUGGUAUACAAGGAAAAUAAAACAUGUCUAGUAAGAAAGAUGAAACAAAGAAAGAGUUGGGAUGUCGAGAAACUGCAAUUCCUAUUAAGAACACUUGACUGUUUACUCAGCACGAGAACGUCAGCCCCAGCCUGCAUCAAUCUAAAUGCGUUUCGAGACGUCAGGCCCCCGAAAAGUGCAGACGGGGAAGCAAACUGAGUGUGGUGGAAAGAACACAAACUUUAGAAUCAGCUGUCAAAGGAAAUAAGGAAGCUGACCCUGAAGAAAUAAUGGGGGCUAAGUGGGAGCGUGUACAUAGAAGCCCUCACUAGAGGAGUUGACUCUCCAG